RNAcentral lists this ribosomal RNA (497 nucleotides) under uncultured bacterium. RNAcentral's name for it is "partial 16S ribosomal RNA". It matches the Rfam family "Bacterial small subunit ribosomal RNA", at positions 28 to 507 of the family's 1533-position model. The record is from RNAcentral.
GACGGACGCUGGCGGCGUGCCUAAUACAUGCAAGUUGAGCGCUGAAGGUUGGUACUUGUACCAACUGGAUGAGCAGCGAACGGGUGAGUAACGCGUGGGGAAUCUGCCUUUGAGCGGGGGACAACAUUUGGAAACGAAUGCUAAUACCGCAUAAAAACUUUAAACACAAGUUUUAAGUUUGAAAGAUGCAAUUGCAUCACUCAAAGAUGAUCCCGCGUUGUAUUAGCUAGUUGGUGAGGUAAAGGCUCACCAAGGCGAUGAUACAUAGCCGACCUGAGAGGGUGAUCGGCCACAAUGGGACUGAGACACGGCCCAAACUCCUACGGGAGGCAGCAGUAGGGAAUCUUCGGCAAUGGACGAAAGUCUGACCGAGCAACGCCGCGUGAGUGAAGAAGGUUUUCGGAUCGUAAAACUCUGUUGGUAGAGAAGAACGUUGGUGAGAGUGGAAAGCUCAUCAAGUGACGGUAACUACCCAGAAAGGGACGGCUAACUACGUG